This 374-nucleotide ribosomal RNA is filed under the name uncultured bacterium. RNAcentral's name for it is "bacterial SSU rRNA". It matches the Rfam family "Bacterial small subunit ribosomal RNA", at positions 8 to 384 of the family's 1533-position model. The record is from RNAcentral.
AGAGUUUGAUCCUGGCUCAGAUUGAACGCUGGCGGCAUGCUUUACACAUGCAAGUCGAACGGCAGCGGGGGCUUCGGCCUGCCGGCGAGUGGCGAACGGGUGAGUAAUGCAUCGGAACGUGCCCAGUCAUGGGGGAUAACUACGCGAAAGCGUAGCUAAUACCGCAUACGCCCUGAGGGGGAAAGCGGGGGAUCGCAAGACCUCGCGUGAUUGGAGCGGCCGAUGUCGGAUUAGCUAGUUGGUGGGGUAAAGGCCUACCAAGGCGACGAUCCGUAGCGGGUCUGAGAGGAUGAUCCGCCACACUGGGACUGAGACACGGCCCAGACUCCUACGGGAGGCAGCAGUGGGGAAUUUUGGACAAUGGGGGCAACCCU